This 253-nucleotide ribosomal RNA is filed under the name uncultured bacterium. RNAcentral's name for it is "partial 16S ribosomal RNA". It matches the Rfam family "Bacterial small subunit ribosomal RNA", at positions 524 to 776 of the family's 1533-position model. The record is from RNAcentral.
UACGGAGGGGGCAAGCGUUGUUCGGAGUCACUGGGCGUAAAGGGCGCGUAGGCGGUGCGUAAAGUCAGGCGUGAAAGCCCCGGGCUUAACCUGGGAAUUGCGCUUGAUACUGACGUGCUAGAGAACGGGAGAGGAUGGCGGAAUUCCCAGUGUAGAGGUGAAAUUCGUAGAUAUUGGGAAGAACACCGGUGGCGAAGGCGGCCAUCUGGACCGUUUCUGACGCUGAGACGCGAAAGCUAGGGGAGCGAACAGG